RNAcentral lists this ribosomal RNA (497 nucleotides) under uncultured bacterium. RNAcentral describes it as "partial 16S ribosomal RNA". It matches the Rfam family "Bacterial small subunit ribosomal RNA", at positions 28 to 507 of the family's 1533-position model. The record is from RNAcentral.
GAUGAACGCUGGCGGCGUGCCUAAUACAUGCAAGUCGAGCGAACAGAUGAGGAGCUUGCUCCUCUGACGUUAGCGGCGGACGGGUGAGUAACACGUGGAUAACCUACCUAUAAGACUGGGAUAACUACGGGAAACCGGAGCUAAUACCGGAUAAUAUAUUGAACCGCAUGGUUCAAUAGUGAAAGACGGUUUUGCUGUCACUUAUAGAUGGAUCCGCGCCGCAUUAGCUAGUUGGUAAGGUAACGGCUUACCAAAGCAACGAUGCGUAGCCGACCUGAGAGGGGGAUCCGCCACACUGGAACUGAGAAACGGUCCCGACUCCUAAGGGAGGCAACCGUAGGGAAUCUUCCGCAAUGGGCGAAAGCCUGACGGAGCAACGCCGGGUGGGUGAAGAAGGUCUUCGGAUCGUAAAACUCUGUUAUUAGGGAAGAACAAAUGUGUAAGUAACUAUGCACGUCUUGACGGUACCUAAUCAGAAAGCCACGGCUAACUACGUG